AGGACGAACGCUGGCGGCGUGCCUAACACAUGCAAGUCGAGCGGGACAUACGACGGAGCAGAAGUUUCGGAUGGAAGCGAAGAUGUAUGUUCUAGCGGCGGACGGGUGAGUAACGCGUGAGCAACCUGUCCUUCACAGGGGGAUAACACAGCGAAAGUUGUACUAAUACCGCAUGAGACCACACUGGGACAUCCCAGAGGGGUCAAAGGAGCAAUCCGGUGAAGGGUGGGCUCGCGUCCGAUUAGAUAGUUGGUGAGGUAACGGCCCACCAAGUCGACGAUCGGUAGCCGACCUGAGAGGGUGAUCGGCCACAUUGGGACUGAGACACGGCCCAAACUCCUACGGGAGGCAGCAGUGGGGAAUAUUGGGCAAUGGGGGGAAACCCUGACCCAGCAACGCCGCGUGAGGGAAGAAGGUUUUCGGAUCGUAAACCUCUGUCCUUGGUGAAGAGAAAGAGACGGUAGCCAAGGAGGAAGCCCCGGCUAACUACGUGCCAGCCGCAGC
This 504-nucleotide ribosomal RNA is filed under the name uncultured bacterium. Its description in RNAcentral is "bacterial SSU rRNA". It matches the Rfam family "Bacterial small subunit ribosomal RNA", at positions 26 to 518 of the family's 1533-position model. The record is from RNAcentral.